GGAAGACGCAGGGAGAAUGCACUCGAAGUAUUAACAAGCCCAAGCUCCCCGCACAGUCGCACACGACAUAGCGCAACAAUGAGUACUGUGAAAGCUGUGGCUCUCAUCUCCGGGGACAACAACAUUAGAGGCUCUCUCCAUUUUGUCCAGAACCCCUGCGGCUCAACCCAUGUGAAAGGGAGGAUUACCGGACUCUCACCUGGGGUUCACGGCUUCCAUAUUCACGCUCUUGGCGAUACAACCAAUGGCUGCAACUCCACUGGUCCUCAUUUCAACCCACUGAAGAAGUAUCAUGGAUCUCCUAUAGAUAAAGAGCGUCACGCUGGUGAUUUGGGUAACAUUGUUGCAGGCCCAGAUGGAGUAGCUGAAAUUUCCAUCAAGGAUGAUCAGAUUCUGCUCAGUGGUCCUCAUUCCAUACUUGGGAGGGCGGUUGUUGUGCACGCUGAUCCUGAUGAUCUUGGUAGAGGUGGCUCUAAUAACAUAUGUAACGAGCUAAGGAAAGCGCUAGCCACAUCUGUCCUGUAACCCCAAAAAGUGGACAUGAACUGAGCAAGACUACCGGGAAUGCAGGUGCAAGAGUUGGAUGUGGUAUCAUUGGACUUCAAUCGUCAGUUUAGGCUGCAUUGCUUGUAAGAGAAACCAUGAUGCAAUGUGUAGUUUAUACUAUUACCCAAUAACCACGUAGAAAAUUUCUGUAAUGUCCUUGGAAAACACUUGGAAUUUACAUGAUAAAAAUUGGAAGUAGUUCUCAUCAAUGACAAUGGGGUAAGGUUAUUAAUCAUCAUGACGGUGGCAUAACAGCAAGCUCAGAAAAAUUGUUGGUAAUAAAUGACAGUGGCAUACAAAACAGCCGGAUGCCACCAGACGUCCCAGUUAUGCUUGUCAAAAGUUACUGCCAUCGUGCACCAGUCCAUUAUUUUUUAAA
Juglans microcarpa x Juglans regia is the source of this 925-nucleotide RNA transcript. It is a transcript of the gene named superoxide dismutase [Cu-Zn] 2, with no coding region annotated. NCBI's taxonomy places the organism in Eukaryota, Viridiplantae, Streptophyta, Magnoliopsida, Fagales, Juglandaceae. The record is from RefSeq and is a predicted model, not a curated record. The transcript is spliced from 8 exons.